RNAcentral lists this long non-coding RNA (309 nucleotides) under Hordeum vulgare. RNAcentral describes it as "long non-coding RNA (HVUL_LNC018485)". The record is from RNAcentral. Lineage: Eukaryota; Viridiplantae; Streptophyta; Magnoliopsida; Poales; Poaceae.
UUUUUGGGACUAGCUUAAUAACUCAGUGCCAAGUGCUAGUUCUUGUUUUUUCCGUGUUUUUGACCUUUUUCAAAGGAGAAUAUUAAACGGAGUCCAGACGGAAUAAAACCUCUGAAAAGUUUUUUUCCAGAAGAGAAGAUACACAGGGAGCUUGAGAACCAAGACAUAGAUCACCAGUGGAGGCCACAAGCCCCCUAGCCGCGGCCUGGGGGGGGCCGUGCCUAGCAGGCUUGUGGGCCCCCUGUGGCUCCUCUGCCCUACUUCUUCCGCCUAAAAAUACCCGAAAAAUCCAAAACCACAGGAGAGAGC